RNAcentral lists this ribosomal RNA (630 nucleotides) under Arsenophonus endosymbiont of Trialeurodes vaporariorum. RNAcentral describes it as "bacterial SSU rRNA". It matches the Rfam family "Bacterial small subunit ribosomal RNA", at positions 494 to 1123 of the family's 1533-position model. The record is from RNAcentral. Lineage: Bacteria; Pseudomonadati; Pseudomonadota; Gammaproteobacteria; Enterobacterales; Morganellaceae.
CGGCUAACUCCGUGCCAGCAGCCGCGGUAAUACGGAGGGUGCGAGCGUUAAUCGGAAUUACUGGGCGUAAAGGGCACGCAGGCGGUUAAUUAAGUUGGAUGUGAAAUCCCCGGGCUUAACCUGGGAAUGGCAUUCAAGACUGGUUAGCUAGAGUCUGGUGGGGGGGGGUAGAAUUCCAUGUGUAGCGGUGAAAUGGGUAGAGAUAUGGAGGAAUACCGGUGGCGAAGGCGGCCCCCUGGCCAAAGACUGACGCUCAUGUGCGAAAGCGUGGGGAGCAAACAGGAUUAGAUACCCUGGUAGUCCACGCUGUAAACGAUGUCGAUUUGGAGGUGGUGGUCAUGAACUGUGGCCUCCGGAGCUAACGCGUUAAAUCGACCGCCUGGGGAGUACGGCCGCAAGGCUAAAACUCAAAUGAAUUGACGGGGGCCCGCACAAGCGGUGGAGCAUGUGGUUUAAUUCGAUGCAACGCGAAGAACCUUACCUACUCUUGACAUCCAGCGAAUCCUUUAGAGAUAGAGGAGUGCCUUCGGGAGCGCUGAGACAGGUGCUGCAUGGCUGUCGUCAGCUCGUGUUGUGAAAUGUUGGGUUAAGUCCCGCAACGAGCGCAACCCUUAUGCUUUGUUGCCAGCG